UACGAAGGGUGCAAGCGUUAAUCGGAAUUACUGGGCGUAAAGCGUGCGUAGGUGGCCUGUUAAGUUUGUUGUGAAAGCCCCGGGCUUAACCUGGGAACGGCAACGAAAACUGGUGGGCUAGAGUCGGUUAGAGGGUAGUGGAAUUCCCGGUGUAGCGGUGAAAUGCGUAGAGAUCGGGAGGAACAUCAGUUGCGAAGGCGGCUACCUGGAACCAGACUGACACUGAGGCACGAAAGCGUGGGGAGCAAACAGG
RNAcentral lists this ribosomal RNA (253 nucleotides) under uncultured bacterium. Its description in RNAcentral is "partial 16S ribosomal RNA". It matches the Rfam family "Bacterial small subunit ribosomal RNA", at positions 524 to 776 of the family's 1533-position model. The record is from RNAcentral.